This 468-nucleotide ribosomal RNA is filed under the name uncultured bacterium. RNAcentral describes it as "partial 16S ribosomal RNA". It matches the Rfam family "Bacterial small subunit ribosomal RNA", at positions 28 to 507 of the family's 1533-position model. The record is from RNAcentral.
GACGAACGCUGGCGGCGUGCUUAACACAUGCAAGUCGAACGGAAAGGCCCUGCUUUUGUGGGGUGCUCGAGUGGCGAACGGGUGAGUAACACGUGAGUAACCUGCCCUUGACUUUGGGAUAACUUCAGGAAACUGGGGCUAAUACCGGAUAGGAGCUCCUGCUGCAUGGUGGGGGUUGGAAAGUUUCGGCGGUUGGGGGUGGACUCGCGGCUUAUCAGCUUGUUGGUGGGGUAGUGGCUUACCAAGGCUUUGACGGGUAGCCGGCCUGAGGGGGUGACCGGCCACAUUGGGACUGAGAUAGGGCCCAGACUCCGACGGGAGGCAGCAGUGGGGAAUAUUGCACAAUGGGCGGAAGCCUGAUGCAGCAACGCCGCGUGCGGGAUGACGGCCUUCGGGUUGUAAACCGCUUUCGCCUGUGACGAAGCGUGAGUGACGGUAAUGGGUAAAGAAGCACCGGCUAGCUACGUG